GACGAACGCUGGCGGCGUGCUUAACACAUGCAAGUCGAACGGAAAGGCCCUGCUUUUGUGGGGUGCUCGAGUGGCGAACGGGUGAGUAACACGUGAGUAACCUGCCCUUGACUUUGGGAUAACUUCAGGAAACUGGGGCUAAUACCGGAUAGGAGCUCCUGCUGCAUGGUGGGGGUUGGAAAGUUUCGGCGGUUGGGGAUGGACUCGCGGCUUAUCAGCUUGUUGGUGGGGUAGUGGCUUACCAAGGCUUUGACGGGUAGCCGGCCUGAGAGGGUGACCGGCCACAUUGGGACUGAGAUACGGCCCAGACUCCUACGGGAGGCAGCAGUGGGGAAUAAUGCACAAUGGGCGGAAGCCUGAUGCAGCAACGCCGCGUGCGGGAUGACGGCCUUCGGGUUGUAAACCGCUUUCGCCUGUGACGAAGCGUGAGUGACGGUAAUGGGUAAAGAAGCACCAGCUAACUACGUG
This 468-nucleotide ribosomal RNA is filed under the name uncultured bacterium. RNAcentral describes it as "partial 16S ribosomal RNA". It matches the Rfam family "Bacterial small subunit ribosomal RNA", at positions 28 to 507 of the family's 1533-position model. The record is from RNAcentral.